This is an RNA transcript of Panicum virgatum (switchgrass), 3376 nucleotides long. RefSeq lists it as uncharacterized. The record is from RefSeq and is a predicted model, not a curated record. The transcript is spliced from 10 exons. NCBI's taxonomy places the organism in Eukaryota, Viridiplantae, Streptophyta, Magnoliopsida, Poales, Poaceae.
UCUGAAGAAACCUGACGAACUGAAAGUCCGAAGAAGCGCAUGUUCAGUUCAGGUGCCUGACACGCGCACCCCGCCGCGACGCACCCGACCCGGACCAACCAUAGCGCGGCGCGCUGGCGGUGGCGGCGGCGGCAGCGCACGGGCGACGAGGAAGGCUCGGGCCAGCCAGGCCCGUCAGGAGGCCUGCACAGCUUUCGCUCCUCCACCGGCGUCGGCGCGUCGCCCCUUCUCCGGUGGAGUUGGAGGCGGCGGCGUCUGAUUUGUUCUCCAUUAGCUGCUGUUGAUUCUGAACUGGUGUGCUGCCAUCCAAGCCCGAUCCGUACUUGAUACGUCGCUCCAUGGUGCCGCAAAGGAUCAGUCCAUCUCAGUUGGCAUCACCCCUAUUGGUGCCCAGUUGAGGACACAAAAGCCCAAGGUGGUACAUGGCCAUCGAGCGCUGCAGGAUCUGGUGGCCGCGCCAGGAGCUGCAGCUCGACCAGGGGCCCGUUCCGGUGAGGCUCAUCCUGUUCGGAUGGUUCUUCACCAGUGGCGCUUCCCUUGACAUCGUCAUCUCCGCGGCUGUCCCCCAGGAUCAGAUCCUGCGGUCUUUUGCCACGCUCGACACUCUCCAGGAUGCCUGUAAGCCUGCAAGAAUCUGCUACAUUUACCAUUCUUGGGGAUUGCGGUCGACAUCUCCCUGGAGAAUUAGAAGAAUGCUGCUGUACUAAACAACUGCCCUUGGACGCACAAUCGGUUCAGAGAGAACAUUCUGGCACAAGCAGAAACAAUGUUAUGAUCAGAUCAGUUGGGAAUGGGGAUCAGCAUCCAAGUUAUGGUAAUAGAAAAUGGGAAUGCGAUUGUUGUGUGUUAGAUGGUUUUCUGGAUGCUUGCAGAAAGUCUGCAGUCAAAGAGGGUAGCUGGGUGCACUUCUUUUGCAAAUCUGGAAACAGCGAUAGGAGCAACUUAAAUCAAGUUCCAGCUCUUGGCCAUCUGUAUAUUGAUGGCCAACUGAUUGAAAUCAAUCAUUGCCACGUAUGUUAUACUAUAUGAGGUUCCAACCUUUGGGAGAAACCAUUUUUCACUGGGUGUGGACGCACCUCGUGAGUUGAAAGCUUCUUUCAAAAAGCCAAACUGGAUAAAUGAUCUGCAAAAACAACCAUCAUUUCUUGAUUUGGAUUCAAUUCUUUUGGCACUCAAUUGUUCAAAUGCAGCUAGACUGCCAGUCACUCAGGAAUGCUCUACCAGCAGCUCUGGGCCUUAUUUCGCCUUUGCAUCGGUAUAUGAUGCCCUGGUUCAAGUGACAUGGCACUGCAUGGGAAUAUUCUUGGCUUCAGCAUCAACUAUUCUCUAUAUCAUGAUUAUAGUGUUCCGAAAAUGUUUAUGCCAUAUGUCCCAGUACUUGAUGCUACAUAAGGUUUUCAAACAUUCAUGGAAUAACAUUCAGCGUCGCAGUUGUCAAAUUCUUUACUGGCCAAUUGUCCUCCGAGAUACCUCCCUAAGCUCCACUGUGAACAUGGAGUAUGCACACAAAGCUGCAAUUCGGAAGCAUGCUCUGUGGUCAAGUAUCGCUGUGGAUCUCCUGAUGGGUUUUGUCCUUGGAGCAGUAUUUUUAUUAAAUACGGAGACAAUUUGUAUUUGGACUAUUGCUCUCGUCCACCACAUGACAGACGCAAUCUUACGAUCUGGCUGUGUGUGGCUGAUGGGUGUUCCGGCUGGCUUUAAGCUGAAUACAGAGUUAGCAGAGCUUUUAGGCAUGAUUUCACUGAAUGCAGUUCAAAUUUACUCUACCCUUUGGUUCUUUGUGGGAGCCUACCUGAGGCAUAUAAUUCAAGGAAUUGCAUUUUCUGGAAUUAUUUUGGGUUUGACAGCUCCAGUUUCAUUCUUUAUUGAUAUUAUCCAGCUUGCUACAUUGCAUGUUACUAUGCUUCACUGGUUAAUAUCAUCGAUAUAUUCAAGACAGAUUCAGACUGUUGCAUCCUUGUGGCGUCUUUUCAGAGGGCGCAAAUGGAAUCCUCUUAGGCAGAGGUUAGAUAGCUAUGACUACACAGUUGAACAGCACGUGGUUGGUUCCUUGCUGUUUACACCGGUCCUACUCCUUAUACCUACAACUUCUGUAUUCUAUGUAUUCUUCUCUAUCUUGACUACAACAGUUAUCUGGGUGUGUGUGAUGCUGGAAAUCGCAAUCGCGGUAAUCCAAUCUACGCCUUAUGCUGAGUUAACUCUAUGGAUGACGAGGAGGCAAAGAUUUCCUGCUGGUAUAUUUUUCCUUCACGUGCCAUCCUCAUCUGGACAUACCUUUGAAGAUGAUGACCUAUCAGCCCAUCCAAUCAGAGGUUGCAAUGAAAGGAAAACAAAGGAUACUGUACAUGAACAAUCAGAGUCAUUAGUUUCAGAACUUAAUUGCAACUAUGCCACUCUUGGUAAAAUGUUCAUCUCGACUUUUGCUUAGACCUUUUGUAGUUGAAUAGUUGAUACAUUUUUACUUCGUUGGAUAUCGAAUUAUCAGCAACAUGUUCAUAUCGUAAUGCAUGACAAGUUUCCAUUUAUGGGAUCAUAAUAUAUCAAUAAAGGUAGUUAACAAACAAACCGAAGUCCAAAUUUGACUAGCUUCUGCCACUUUGAGUACAUGAUAUUUGUGCAGCCUAGCUUUAUGUGCUUAUAACAAAAGUAUGCUUGCUUUUUUCAAUAUAAUGUAUCUGUGCAUCUGUUUGAAGAACUAGCCCUGCAGUUGCUUCUGUGUUGUUUUACUUGGUAGUGAUCUAACAUAAAGGAUGCUAUGUGCAGUCCAAGUAAUCAGAUCAAAUUAUGAGAGAGUUUUCAACAGGACGGGUUUCUCCUUCUGCAAACAAUUGGCAUACGGGAUCCUUAGUGGUGAAAGGGUGCCUUCAUCGCUGCAUCUUCAACCGUCUCCUUCAUUUCCCUGGAUGAACAUUGGUAUCACAGAAUACUGGAUGCAUUGCCGUGAUUCUGUACUUUCAUGCGCACCGAAGAGGUGAUGGAGUGAAGUUUUGCACUAAUUGCCUGACCUAGUGACAAAUUCAGUUUUUGAUUACCUAACUCAGCAGCAUGACUUAGAUCCUGUUCGCAGAUCUGUUGGAACAAAUGGCCAAGUAUUGUUGUCCCAUCUUUUAUGCAAUACUUGCAUAACAAGAAUAUUAUAAUGUUUACAGCAAGGCACAAAAUUUUCAUAUGAGAGCGAAGCUUUCAUACUGGAUCUUUCAUGUCAUCAUCUUCUACAAUGAUGCCUCACUCUGGGUUAUGUCUUGAAUAUUACUCGGCUUUCAUACUGGAACUCUCAUGCAUGCACCAGCUUUUAUGCAACCAUAGUUGUCACAUUUGAGCUGAUCCAUGUUUUUGUACGAUUCAGUUAAUUGCUUUUGAGGUGGGGUGGUUUGUA